UCCAGGCACAGUGGCGCAUGCCUGUAGUCCCAGCUACUCGGGAGGCUGAGGUGGGAGGAUCGCUUGAGCCCAGGAGUUCUGGGCUAUAGUGCGCUAUGCUGCUCGGGUGUCCACACUAAGUUCGGCAUCAAUAUGGUGACCUCCCGGGAGCGGGGAACCACCAGGUGGCCUAAGGAGGGGUGAACCGGCCCAGGUCCAAAGCAAAGCAGGUCAAAACUCCUGUGCUGAUCAGUAGUGGGAUUGCACCUGUGAAUAGCCACUGCACUCCAGCCUGGGCAACAGAGCGAGACCCUGUCUCU
Molecule: signal recognition particle RNA, 299 nt
Filed under: Cebus imitator (Panamanian white-faced capuchin)
Lineage: Eukaryota; Metazoa; Chordata; Mammalia; Primates; Cebidae
Description: Metazoan signal recognition particle RNA (ENSCCAG00000006813.1)
Rfam family: Metazoan signal recognition particle RNA
About the family: The signal recognition particle (SRP) is a universally conserved ribonucleoprotein. It is involved in the co-translational targeting of proteins to membranes. The eukaryotic SRP consists of a 300-nucleotide 7S RNA and six proteins: SRPs 72, 68, 54, 19, 14, and 9.
Source: RNAcentral